Molecule: ribosomal RNA, 479 nt
Filed under: uncultured bacterium
Lineage: Bacteria
Description: bacterial SSU rRNA
Rfam family: Bacterial small subunit ribosomal RNA
Source: RNAcentral
UGAGUAACGCGUGGGUAACCUACCCCAAAGUCCGGGAUAACAGCGGGAAACCGCUGCUAAUACCGGAUGCCUUUACCUUGGGGCAUCUUGAGGUAAAGAAAGGUAACGCUUUGGGAUGGGCCCGCGUCCCAUUAGCUAGUUGGUGAGGUAACGGCUCACCAAGGCGACGAUGGGUAGCCGGCCUGAGAGGGUGGACGGCCACACUGGGACUGAGACACGGCCCAGACUCCUACGGGAGGCAGCAGUAGGGAAUAUUGCGCAAUGGACGGAAGUCUGACGCAGCGACGCCGCGUGAGCGAUGAAGGUCUUCGGAUCGUAAAGCUCUGUCCUUGGGGAAGAAGGCGAAAGCUUGACGGUACCCAAGAAGAAAGCCCCGGCUAACUACGUGCCAGCAGCCGCGGUAAUACGUAGGGGGCGAGCGUUGUCCGGAAUUACUGGGCGUAAAGGGUGCGUAGGCGGCCCUUUAAGUCGGAUGUGAA